This 519-nucleotide ribosomal RNA is filed under the name uncultured Entrophospora. RNAcentral's name for it is "SSU rRNA". It matches the Rfam family "Eukaryotic small subunit ribosomal RNA", at positions 569 to 1080 of the family's 1831-position model. The record is from RNAcentral. Lineage: Eukaryota; Fungi; Glomeromycota; Glomeromycetes; Entrophosporales; Entrophosporaceae.
AGCAGCCGCGGUAAUUCCAGCUCCAACAGCGUAUAUUAAAGUUGUUGCAGUUAAAAAGCUCGUAGUUGAAUUGAGGGAUUGACGUGACGGUCGUGCCUUACGGGGUAUGAACUGUUGCUGUUGAUUUUUCUCACCUUCUGGAGAAACUUGAUGUCCUUAAUUGGGUGUCUUGCGGAUCCAGGACCUUUACCUUGAAAAAAUUAGAGUGUUUAAAGCAGGCAUUUUGCUCGAAUACAUUAGCAUGGAAUAAUAGAAUAGGACGGCAUGGUUCUAUUUUGUUGGUUUCUAGGAUCACCGUAAUGAUUAAUAGGGAUAGUUGGGGGCAUUAGUAUUCAAUUGUCAGAGGCGAAAUACUUGGAUUUGUUGAAGACUAAUUACUGCGAAAGCAUUUGCCAAGGAUGUUUUCAUUAAUCAAGAACGAAAGUUAGGGGAUCGAAGACGAUCAGAUACCGUCGUAGUCUUAACCAAUAAACUAUGCCGACUAGGAAUCAGACGAUGUUAAUUUUUAAUGUAUUCGUU